AAUGGGCGCAAGCCUGACCCAGCAACGCCGCGUGAAGGAAGAAGGCUUUCGGGUUGUAAACUUCUUUUAUCAGGGACGAAACAAAUGACGGUACCUGAUGAAUAAGCCACGGCUAACUACGUGCCAGCAGCCGCGGUAAUACGUAGGUGGCAAGCGUUAUCCGGAUUUACUGGGUGUAAAGGGCGUGUAGGCGGGACAGCAAGUCAGGUGUGAAAUUCCAGGGCUCAACCCUGGAACUGCAUUUGAAACUGUUGUUCUUGAGUGAUGGAGAGGCAGGCGGAAUUCCGAGUGUAGCGGUGAAAUGCGUAGAUAUUCGGAGGAACACCAGUGGCGAAGGCGGCCUGCUGGACAUUAACUGACGCUGAGGCGCGAAAGCGUGGGGAGCAAA
Molecule: ribosomal RNA, 388 nt
Filed under: uncultured bacterium
Lineage: Bacteria
Description: bacterial SSU rRNA
Rfam family: Bacterial small subunit ribosomal RNA
Source: RNAcentral